RNAcentral lists this unclassified non-coding RNA (320 nucleotides) under plant metagenome. RNAcentral's name for it is "partial contains 5.8S ribosomal RNA, internal transcribed spacer 2, and large subunit ribosomal RNA". The stretch from base 1 to 105 matches the Rfam family "5.8S ribosomal RNA", at positions 50 to 154 of the family's 154-position model. The record is from RNAcentral.
GAAAUGCGAUAAGUAAUGUGAAUUGCAGAAUUCAGUGAAUCAUCGAAUCUUUGAACGCACAUUGCGCCCGCCAGUAUUCUGGCGGGCAUGCCUGUUCGAGCGUCAUUACAACCCUCAGGCCCCUGGGCCUGGCGUUGGGGAUCGGCGGAAGCCCCCUGCGGGCACAACGCCGUCCCCCAAAUACAGUGGCGGUCCCGCCGCAGCUUCCAUUGCGUAGUAGCUAACACCUCGCAACUGGAGAGCGGCGCGGCCACGCCGUAAAACACCCAACUUCUGAAUGUUGACCUCGAAUCAGGUAGGAAUACCCGCUGAACUUAAGC